UACGGCCGUACCAUGCUGAAUAUACCGGUUCUCGUUAGAUCACCGAAGUCAAGCAUCAUUGGGCGCGGUCAGUACUUGGGUGGGUGACCACCUGGGAACACCGCGUGCCGUU
This 112-nucleotide ribosomal RNA is filed under the name Caerostris darwini. The record is from RNAcentral. Lineage: Eukaryota; Metazoa; Arthropoda; Arachnida; Araneae; Araneidae.